CCUACGGGGGGCUGCAGUGGGGAAUAUUGCACAAUGGGCGCAAGCCUGAUGCAGCCAUGCCGCGUGUGUGAAGAAGGCCUUCGGGUUGUAAAGCACUUUCAGCGGGGAGGAAGGCGGUGAGGUUAAUAACCUCAUCGAUUGACGUUACCCGCAGAAGAAGCACCGGCUAACUCCGUGCCAGCAGCCGCGGUAAUACGGAGGGUGCAAGCGUUAAUCGGAAUUACUGGGCGUAAAGCGCACGCAGGCGGUCUGUCAAGUCGGAUGUGAAAUCCCCGGGCUCAACCUGGGAACUGCAUUCGAAACUGGCAGGCUAGAGUCUUGUAGAGGGGGGUAGAAUUCCCGGUGUAGCGGUGAAAUGCGUAGAGAUCUGGAGGAAUACCGGUGGCGAAGGCGGCCCCCUGGACAAAGACUGACGCUCAGGUGCGAAAGCGUGGGGAGCAAACAGGAUUAGAUACCCUUGUAGUC
RNAcentral lists this ribosomal RNA (465 nucleotides) under uncultured Klebsiella sp. RNAcentral's name for it is "bacterial SSU rRNA". It matches the Rfam family "Bacterial small subunit ribosomal RNA", at positions 338 to 795 of the family's 1533-position model. The record is from RNAcentral. Lineage: Bacteria; Pseudomonadati; Pseudomonadota; Gammaproteobacteria; Enterobacterales; Enterobacteriaceae.